CGGCCAUUAAGCCUCGCUGGGUGAGGUAGGCUGAUGCCACAUCGCUGCUGGGAUUGGCAGGCAGAGGAGUCCAGAGGCCCCCCAGGAAGGCUCCCUUCCUGCCAUUCACCUCCCCUGCCUCUCCCCUGGGGGGCUGGGCAUAUCAGCAGCCCCAUGGACCGCUGCUUUGCAAGUCCCGAGAGCCCCCAUUCUACGCGACGUGUAAAAGUCCAGCUGGAAAGCGGAAACUGCAGUCCAUCAUCCAGAUGUGUUUUCCUACAUGUCGCCUGUUUUGUAGAUACGUGUGACUGUGAGGUGAUGGCCUGACUUCUCAGCUCUUCAUUAAUACAUUCCAGCCAGCCCGGGGUGGCCCAUAGGGACAGAGUGAGGUGAGGAACUGGAAAUAUUCCCCGCAACUCAGUAAAGAUGGCAGGCAACUUGGAGAACUCUGCCCCUUCAAGGGGAACGUGGUUCUUACCCACCCUCCCCAGGCCUAUGAAUGAGCAAAGCCAGAGCGUCCCCUCUCCUCCAUUAAGCAGAUGUUCUACACAUCGCCCUCCCACUCCUUCUGCAGACCCGAGGGAGCAGCAGAACCGCUCACGUGAGAGCCGCCAGAAGGCAAGGACCGGCGCGCCCAUUCUAUCACAAGAGCAAGCUCACAGUCAAUUAUCUCAUUGUCAGAGUCUCGGUGCCCCUGCCCUACUCCACCCCCUUGGGAUCCUGUGCAUCCGAGCUUCUUUGUUUGGAAUCAUCAUCAUGUCACCAUCAAAAAUAUUUAUUCAGCUUCUGCAUAUAUAUUGUUCUGGUCACCCCAUUGAUUUUUCUCUCAUGGCAUGUAUGUAAUUUCCACUCUAUCUUUUUGAAGUUGCUUGACAUGAGUUUCUGUCAUCUUUAUACAUCAUCAGGUACGGUAUUCAAGAGCCCCAGAACUCAGAAUGGGUCCCCAGCCUUCCCUUUGCUUGGCUGUAGAAAUAACACCAGGUCUUGGUGCAGGGCAUCUUGGAUCAGGGACUGACAGAAUGGCUGCCUCUUCCAAGUACAAUCCAGAACGGAGUGGACUGAGACAUGUAG
Molecule: long non-coding RNA, 1050 nt
Filed under: Felis catus (domestic cat)
Lineage: Eukaryota; Metazoa; Chordata; Mammalia; Carnivora; Felidae
Description: lncRNA (ENSFCAG00000048941.1)
Source: RNAcentral